Molecule: ribosomal RNA, 816 nt
Filed under: Vibrio sp. YASM-23
Lineage: Bacteria; Pseudomonadati; Pseudomonadota; Gammaproteobacteria; Vibrionales; Vibrionaceae
Description: bacterial SSU rRNA
Rfam family: Bacterial small subunit ribosomal RNA
Source: RNAcentral
AUUGGGGUAUUGGCCAUGGGCGCAGCCUGAUGCAGCCAUGCCGCGUGUGUGAAGAAGGCCUUCGGGUUGUAAAGCACUUUCAGUCGUGAGGAAGGUAGUGUAGUUAAUAGCUGCAUUAUUUGACGUUAGCGACAGAAGAAGCACCGGCUAACUCCGUGCCAGCAGCCGCGGUAAUACGGAGGGUGCGAGCGUUAAUCGGAAUUACUGGGCGUAAAGCGCAUGCAGGUGGUUUGUUAAGUCAGAUGUGAAAGCCCGGGGCUCAACCUCGGAAUUGCAUUUGAAACUGGCAGACUAGGGUACUGUAGAGGGGGGUAGAAUUUCAGGUGUAGCGGUGAAAUGCGUAGAGAUCUGAAGGAAUACCGGUGGCGAAGGCGGCCCCCUGGACAGAUACUGACACUCAGAUGCGAAAGCGUGGGGAGCAAACAGGAUUAGAUACCCUGGUAGUCCACGCCGUAAACGAUGUCUACUUGGAGGUUGUGGCCUUGAGCCGUGGCUUUCGGAGCUAACGCGUUAAGUAGACCGCCUGGGGAGUACGGUCGCAAGAUUAAAACUCAAAUGAAUUGACGGGGGCCCGCACAAGCGGUGGAGCAUGCGGUUUAAUUCGAUGCAACGCGAAGAACCUUACCUACUCUUGACAUCCAGAGAACUUUCCAGAGAUGGAUUGGUGCCUUCGGGAACUCUGAGACAGGUGCUGCAUGGCUGUCGUCAGCUCAUGUUGUGAAAUGUUGGGUUAAGUCCCGCAACGAGCGCAACCCUUAUCCUUGUUUGCCAGCGAGUAAUGUCGGGAACUCCAGGGAGAACUGCCGGGUGAAAAAA